UAGGGAAUUUUGCGCAAUGGGCGAAAGCCUGACGCAGCAACGCCGCGUGUGUGACGAAGCCCUUCGGGGUGUAAAGCACUGUCAGUGGGGACGAAACUUGACGGUACCCACAGAGGAAGCACCGGCUAACUCCGUGCCAGCAGCCGCGGUAAUACGGAGGGUGCAAGCGUUGUCCGGAAUCAUUGGGCGUAAAGCGUUCGUAGGCGGCAUACCAAGUCUGGUGUUAAAGCCCGAGGCUCAACCUCGGUUCGGCAUCGGAUACUGGUAAGCUAGAAUGCGGUAGAGGUGAAGGGAAUUCCUGGUGUAGCGGUGAAAUGCGUAGAUAUCAGGAGGAACAUCGGUGGCGAAAGCGCUUCACUGGGCCGUAAUUGACGCUGAGGAACGAAAGCCGGGGGAGCAAAUG
This 403-nucleotide ribosomal RNA is filed under the name uncultured prokaryote. RNAcentral's name for it is "bacterial SSU rRNA". It matches the Rfam family "Bacterial small subunit ribosomal RNA", at positions 355 to 774 of the family's 1533-position model. The record is from RNAcentral.